UACAGAGGGUGCAAGCGUUGUUCGGAAUUACUGGGCGUAAAGCGCGUGUAGGCGGUUUGGCAAGUCAGGCGUGAAAUCCCUUGGCUCAACCAAGGAAUUGCGUUUGAAACUGCUAGACUAGAGUAUCGGAGGGGGUGGCGGAAUUCCCGGUGUAGAGGUGAAAUUCGUAGAUAUCGGGAGGAACACCCGUGGCGAAGGCGGCCACCUGGAAGAUUACUGACGCUGAGACGCGAAAGCGUGGGGAGCAAACAGG
This 253-nucleotide ribosomal RNA is filed under the name uncultured bacterium. RNAcentral's name for it is "partial 16S ribosomal RNA". It matches the Rfam family "Bacterial small subunit ribosomal RNA", at positions 524 to 776 of the family's 1533-position model. The record is from RNAcentral.